GUUUGGAAUGUGCGAGAUGUGUGC
Molecule: microRNA, 24 nt
Filed under: Cucumis melo (muskmelon)
Lineage: Eukaryota; Viridiplantae; Streptophyta; Magnoliopsida; Cucurbitales; Cucurbitaceae
Description: cme-miR7130
Source: miRBase by way of RNAcentral